GAUGAAGAACGUAGUGAAAUGCGAUACGUAAUGUGAAUUGCAGAAUUCAGUGAAUCAUCGAGUCUUUGAACGCACAUUGCGCCCCCUGGUAUUCCGGGGGGCAUGCCUGUCCGAGCGUCAUUGCUGCCCUCAAGCACGGCUUGUGUGUUGGGCCUCCGUCCUCCUCCCGGGGGACGGGCCCGAAAGGCAGCGGCGGCACCGCGUCCGGUCCUCGAGCGUAUGGGGCUUCGUCACCCGCUCUUGUAGGCCCGGCCGGCGCUUGCCGACACAUCAAUCUUUUUUCCAGGUUGACCUCGGAUCAGGUAGGGAUACCCGCUGAACUUAAGCAUAUCAAUGCGGAGGA
This 343-nucleotide unclassified non-coding RNA is filed under the name soil metagenome. Its description in RNAcentral is "partial contains 5.8S ribosomal RNA, internal transcribed spacer 2, and large subunit ribosomal RNA". The stretch from base 1 to 120 matches the Rfam family "5.8S ribosomal RNA", at positions 35 to 154 of the family's 154-position model. The record is from RNAcentral.